AACGCACGAGACCUGCGGACCUGCGGAAGGAUCAUUACUGAGUGAGGGCCCUCUGGGUCCUACCUCCCACCCGUGUCUAUUGUACCUUGUUGCUUCGGUGGGCCCGCCCUCGUGGCCGCCGGGGGGCUUCUUGCCCCCGGGCCCGCGCCCACCGGAGACAAACAUGAACACUGUCUGAAGGUUGCCGUCUGAGUGAUUUUAUAAAUCGUUAAAACUUUUAACAAUGGAUCUCUAGAUCGG
Molecule: unclassified non-coding RNA, 240 nt
Filed under: soil metagenome
Description: partial contains 5.8S ribosomal RNA, internal transcribed spacer 2, and large subunit ribosomal RNA
Source: RNAcentral